RNAcentral lists this transfer RNA (73 nucleotides) under Bacteroidales bacterium. Its description in RNAcentral is "tRNA-Met". It matches the Rfam family "tRNA". From Rfam's summary of the family: Transfer RNA (tRNA) molecules are approximately 80 nucleotides in length. Their secondary structure includes four short double-helical elements and three loops (D, anti-codon, and T loops). Further hydrogen bonds mediate the characteristic L-shaped molecular structure. tRNAs have two regions of fundamental functional importance: the anti-codon, which is responsible for specific mRNA codon recognition, and the 3' end, to which the tRNAs corresponding amino acid is attached (by aminoacyl-tRNA synthetases). tRNAs cope with the degeneracy of the genetic code in two manners: having more than one tRNA (with a specific anti-codon) for a particular amino acid; and 'wobble' base-pairing, i.e. permitting non-standard base-pairing at the 3rd anti-codon position. Lineage: Bacteria; Pseudomonadati; Bacteroidota; Bacteroidia; Bacteroidales. The record is from RNAcentral.
UGCGGGGUAGAGCAGUUGGUAGCUCGUCGGGCUCAUAACCCGGAGGUCGCAGGUUCGAGUCCUGUCUCCGCUA